Molecule: ribosomal RNA, 468 nt
Filed under: uncultured bacterium
Lineage: Bacteria
Description: partial 16S ribosomal RNA
Rfam family: Bacterial small subunit ribosomal RNA
Source: RNAcentral
GACGAACGCUGGCGGCGUGCUUAACACAUGCCAGUCGAACGGAAAGGCCCUGCUUUUGUGGGGUGCUCGAGUGGCGAACGGGUGAGUAACACGUGAGUAACCUGCCCUUGACUUUGGGAUAACUUCAGGAAACUGGGGCUAAUACCGGAUAGGAGCUCCUGCUGCAUGGUGGGGGUUGGAAAGUUUCGGCGGCUGGGGAUGGACUCGCGGCUUAUCAGCUUGUUGGUGGGGUAGUGGCUUACCAAGGCUUUGACGGGUAGCCGGCCUGAGAGGGUGACCGGCCACAUUGGGACUGAGAUACGGCCCAGACUCCUACGGGAGGCAGCAGUGGGGAAUAUUGCACAAUGGGCGGAAGCCUGAUGCAGCAACGCCGCGUGCGGGAUGACGGCCUUCGGGUUGUAAACCGCUUUCGCCUGUGACGAAGCGUGAGUGACGGUAAUGUGUAAAGAAGCACCGGCUAACUACGUG